Molecule: long non-coding RNA, 1179 nt
Organism: Dicentrarchus labrax (European seabass)
Lineage: Eukaryota; Metazoa; Chordata; Actinopteri; Moronidae
Source: Ensembl
AUGGAUGAGGAAAGCUUGCAACCCCGACUUGAGGAAACUGUUGUACAGUCAUCAUUGCCUCAGUCUGAAACCCAUGAGGACAAUCAACAAGAAGCAGAAGACCAGUCUGAAAAAACAAAGGAGGAGGAAGGAACAGAGGCUGAGAUUUCUUCUGGGAGAAUGCACGGAAGUUUAACUCAUAUAGAGGGUCGUUUAGAAAGUAAUGUCAUACAAAAUGAGGAUUCAUUGGUUGAAGUCAGCUUUGAAGAUGUUCCAGAGGCUCGGCAGAUUAAAGAGGUUGGGGAGAAUCAGCCAGAGGACGAGGAUUCAGUGGAGCAGACUAAGAUAUUAGAAAUACAACAGGAGGAGGAAUCCAAGGAAGUUACAUCAGUGGCAACACACCAAAAUAUAUCAGGUUCACAAGACCACAAUGAGCCGGAAAUGGUUAGAGUUGAAGAGGAAGUUAACCCUGAAGGGGAAGAAAUGGAAAGUCAGCAUGAAGUAUUUGAUAUAAGGAAUGAGAAGGUGGACACAAAUGACUCUAAUUUAAAUGAUAGUGAGGAUGAUGAGCCUGGAGAAGGUGUUAAAACCAUCAGCUCAUCACAUCAGCCCACCUCCGAGGCAGACGAAAAGAACAAGGAGGAUGAAACCGAUCAUGAAAAUGAAGAUAACAAGAAGAUAAGUGAAGGCGAAUUUCACCAGAGCAAGUCGAACGACACUGGCUUUAAAGAAGAGGGAACAACAAACUCAGUAGGAGGAGACAAAGAGGACAUAUGUGAGGUGGAGGAUCAAGAAAUGAAUGAUGGUGGUGCUGAGAAUCAUUUAUCACAAUUAACCCAGUCAAAUAUAUUAACUGCUGCAGCGGAGGCAGAGAGUGAAACUUUAGAGGCAAGUGCGCAACAUCUACCAGAGGAGAACGAGGAGAGUCAGAGACCACUUGUAGAGUCACAGGCAGAGGAUACAGUGGUACAAAAAGAGGACACAUCACAGGAGAGAACAUCAAAAGCAGGGGGACUUGUUGAAGAAGAAAAGAUUGAUUCUGAAAUACAAGAGAAGAGUGAUGCAAUGUGUGAAGAGAGCAACAUCAGUCCCACUCAAAGUGCAGAUCAGCCGGCUGCUGACCACCAAGGGGAGGAAAGGCCACUUGAGUCUGAAGGCGACAGUGGUGACAAGGUAAAGUUUGAUGCUUCUUCUCAGUGA